Molecule: ribosomal RNA, 460 nt
Filed under: uncultured bacterium
Lineage: Bacteria
Description: partial 16S ribosomal RNA
Rfam family: Bacterial small subunit ribosomal RNA
Source: RNAcentral
CCUACGGGAGGCAGCAGUGAGGAAUAUUGGUCAAUGGGCGCGAGCCUGAACCAGCCAAGUAGCGUGAAGGAUGACUGCCCUACGGGUUGUAAACUUCUUUUAUAAAGGAAUAAAGUGAGGCACGUGUGCCUUUUUGUAUGUACUUUAUGAAUAAGGAUCGGCUAACUCCGUGCCAGCAGCCGCGGUAAUACGGAGGAUCCUAGGGUUAUUCGGAUUUAUUGGGUUUAAAGGGAGCGUAGAUGGGUUGUUAAGUCAGUUGGGAAAGUUUGGGGCUCAACGGUAAAAUUGCAAUUGAUACUGGCAGUCUUGAGUACAGUAGAGGGAGGCGGAAUUAGUGGUGUAGCGGUGAAAUGCUGAGAUAUCACGAAGAACCCCGAUUGCGAAGGCAGCUUACUAAACUGUGACUGACAUUGAUGCUCGAAAGUGUGGGUAUCAAACAGGAUUAGAUACCCGGGUAGUC